GGUUUUUCGUGGGAAGAUACAAUGGUGAGUUUCUUAUACCUCAUUUCCUGAAUUUUUCUUUUCUCAGAUUCUGAUUAUUUUGAUAUUUUGGUUAAUUGCAUCGAUUUUCUGCAUAACUGGUGUGUGCAUGUUUAUUUUGUAUUAUAUUAUCCUGUUAUUCCCCUAAUCAUAAACGGUAAAGACUUACCUACAUUUAGUUAUUUACAACCAUUUGAUUUACAAUUUACACAUAAUUUAAAAUCAUGUUGGGCCUAUUCAAAAAUAUAGUAGGUUCUACCUAAAAUCAUGGUGUGCUAAUUUCUUAUUAAUUGGGUAUGUAAAUCAAGCUAUACGCACCGAGUGCAGUAGAUAAGAAUUUCCUAAUUAUAAACACACAAGUGCUUGUAAGUAAAAUGAUAAAGGAAAAGUCAAUGAUGGAACAACCCCCCCGACUAACACACAAACAAAUAAUAAUAAUAAUAAUAUCCUCUAAAGAAGGAAACUUGUGCAUUUGUUUUCCUCAUUCAUUUUAAUUUAUCGUUUUACUGAUAAUUUAUUACCUAUUAUCUUGGCUUUCCAUAGACAUUGAGAGUCUACUUCCCGAG
RNAcentral lists this unclassified non-coding RNA (584 nucleotides) under Hevea brasiliensis (rubber tree). Lineage: Eukaryota; Viridiplantae; Streptophyta; Magnoliopsida; Malpighiales; Euphorbiaceae. The record is from RNAcentral.